This 447-nucleotide ribosomal RNA is filed under the name uncultured bacterium. RNAcentral describes it as "bacterial SSU rRNA". It matches the Rfam family "Bacterial small subunit ribosomal RNA", at positions 355 to 825 of the family's 1533-position model. The record is from RNAcentral.
UCGGGAAUUUUGGGCAAUGGGCGAAAGCCUGACCCAGCAACGCCGCGUGAAGGAUGAAGUAUUUCGGUAUGUAAACUUCGAAAGAAUAGGAAGAAUAAAUGACGGUACUAUUUAUAAGGUCCGGCUAACUACGUGCCAGCAGCCGCGGUAAUACGUAGGGACCAAGCGUUGUUCGGAUUUACUGGGCGUAAAGGGCGCGUAGGCGGGUCGUUAAGUUGGGGGUGAAAUCCCGAGGCUCAACCUCGGAACUGCCUUCAAAACUGGCGACCUGGACCUAAGUAGAGGCAAGUGGAAUUGCGAGUGUAGAGGUGAAAUUCGUAGAUAUUCGCAGGAACACCAGUGGCGAAGGCGACUUGCUGGACUUAUGGUGACGCUGAGACGCGAAAGCGUGGGGAGCAAACAGGAUUAGAUACCCGAGUAGUCCCUGAGCGGGCUGGCAAGGCGCAU